UUAAAUUGAAGAGUUUGAUCAUGGCUCAGAUUGAACGCUGGCGGCAGGCCUAACACAUGCAAGUCGAACGGUAACAGGAAGCAGCUUGCUGCUUUGCUGACGAGUGGCGGACGGGUGAGUAAUGUCUGGGAAACUGCCUGAUGGAGGGGGAUAACUACUGGAAACGGUAGCUAAUACCGCAUAACGUCGCAAGACCAAAGAGGGGGACCUUCGGGCCUCUUGCCAUCGGAUGUGCCCA
RNAcentral lists this ribosomal RNA (238 nucleotides) under Escherichia coli. RNAcentral's name for it is "partial 16S ribosomal RNA". It matches the Rfam family "Bacterial small subunit ribosomal RNA", at positions 1 to 233 of the family's 1533-position model. The record is from RNAcentral. Lineage: Bacteria; Pseudomonadati; Pseudomonadota; Gammaproteobacteria; Enterobacterales; Enterobacteriaceae.